UUGCUGUGAUGACAAUCUUAGGACACCUUUGGAUUAACCGUGAAAUAACUCAAGUUCUGAGCAAC
Molecule: small nucleolar RNA, 65 nt
Organism: Dipodomys ordii (Ord's kangaroo rat)
Lineage: Eukaryota; Metazoa; Chordata; Mammalia; Rodentia; Heteromyidae
Gene: SNORD58
Rfam family: Small nucleolar RNA SNORD58
About the family: snoRNA U58 is found in introns 1, 3 and 6 of the ribosomal protein RPL17 gene in humans.
Source: Ensembl